RNAcentral lists this ribosomal RNA (3064 nucleotides) under Nicotiana glauca (tree tobacco). Its description in RNAcentral is "bacterial LSU rRNA". The stretch from base 1638 to 3064 matches the Rfam family "Bacterial large subunit ribosomal RNA". The record is from RNAcentral. Lineage: Eukaryota; Viridiplantae; Streptophyta; Magnoliopsida; Solanales; Solanaceae.
AUUGUACCAGAGCAAGGUGACCGCCGGCGUUCGCGGCACCGGACUUCGUCUUUUGAUUCUAAAUCUUAUUUUGUAUAUUAUUGGCCCUGUAGUGGAGUUCAGAUUUUCUUUAGAUGCUCGUGACUUGUGACACCCCGGUCGGGCUAUGUUGGGUUGUAGAUAUCGAUUAUUAUUGUCAUUAAGUUGUAUUUAUCUAUUCAUUUAUGUUUAAUAAUUUUGAAAGAGGCGUCGUUGUUCUGUUGGCUGGCCUUGUCUUCACGAGAGGUGCCAUCACAACUGGGUUUGGAAAUUGGGUCGUGACACAUAGUUUGAAAAUUUUCACUAUGUAGAAUAUACACAAAUGUACUUGCAUAAGCUGGGAAAACUAUUGUGGUGUUAAACAUAAAACUUUGGAAAAGAGGGAUAGUGCGUAGACUAAGGGAGACGGAGGAAGAAGAAUAUAUUCAUCGACAUAUAUUGUAGAGUACAAAAAGUAGGUUCUUUUAUUUUUUUGAAAAAAAGUAGAUUGAUGAGUGCUAGACAAGAAGAAUUCCUUAUUAAAUAUGUGAAUGUCGCAUUAUACUCAUUGACCUAGAAAUGAAUAUGAAAAAAACAUAUGAUAAUGUGCCAAAACCAAAAAGUCUUCCGGUGAAUGCUAUACUAUUUCAGCUCAUUUUUCUCUUUUGUUACAAUAUGUAUCAUAAACAGAGUAAACAAAUAUUCCUUUGUGGGUUAAAAACAAAAGCACAAAAAGAGUUUCAUCUUAUAAAGGAAAGAAAGGAAUACACUCAUAUGUAAAAGCAGCUCUAUGUUGGGGUUAUAGAUCAGUGAAAAUUUAUAAUAAAAAAUUAAUAGCUUAUUUUUAAAAAAAAAAAACUAAAAUGAACUUGGGUUGGCGAACUCUAUUAGCAAGGACCCCCAAGAAAUCCAUAUAAAGUUGAAGGGAAUAUUUCAAGCAAUAACAAAUAGGAGACAGUGAGAUCUCAAAAGAGAGUCACAAUUCAUGCUGGUCUAUGUAGUUUUAUCAUUAGGAUCCUGUAGGGGUAUUCUUCUCUUCUUUUUGUUAGUGAGUCGCAUGACAAGUUCAAGCAGCAAAAUGGAGCACAAGGCAGAAUGCAUUCCAAAAUGUCAGUACAGUUGUAAAUUUUUUGUAGCUUUUUGGUGUAAUAAUAUGGACACAAUCUAAGAUUUCAUCAGUUCCUUACAAGCUGGAACUAGGAAUUGAUCUUUCGUAUAGGUGUACGGUUUCAGCAACACCUUGGGCUUAUUUUAUCUUGUUGGAUAAGCCAACAUCUUAGAGUUGUUUUCCCAUUAAUAAAAUACAUGUAAUGGCAAAUAAAAAUGCUCAAAAGUUUUGAGCAAAUAAAAGAUAAAAAAGUGAAAGUACCACAAGAAAGAAGUGAGAAUACACACAAUUUAUAGCUUUAGGGAUCGUAAGGUUCACUUACUAGUUAUGCAGGAAUUACAAUAAAGGUUGUUUAUGCGGUGACUAAUAUGAAGGAUUACUAUACAUGAAUUACUUACUUUAAAAGGAUAUUUUGUCUGUAAAUAGUUUAAUCCUUCCAUUGCUAAUGCAUGUAUUCUUAUUCCACAUUCUAUCCCGCAUGUUAACUCGAGUAUUAUUUAAUACCUCCAACAAAAUGUUGUUACACGGCAAUUAUUCUUUUCUUAUGCGACCAACCAAACUAUUUAUUAUCUUAUGCAAGAAUGUGUAUCUUAUGUGGGAAUCUAUGUCAGGAUUAAUUGCUCCAAUACCACAAACAAACGACCUCGAACGACUUUGAGCAAGAGGGUACCUGUACCCGAAACCUACACAAGUGGGUAGGUAUAGAACACCUAGGGGCGCGAGACAACUCUCUCUAAGGAACUCGGCAAAAUAGCCCCGUAACUCUGGGAGAAGGGGUGCCUCCUCACAAAGGGGGUCACAGUGACCAGGCCCGAGCGACUGUUUAUCAAAAACACAGGUCUCCGCAAAGUCAUAAGACCACGUAUGGAGGCCGAUGACUGCCAGUGCUGGAAGGUCAAGGAAGUUGGUGACCUGAUGACAGGGGAGACGGCGACCGAAAACCCUGUGAACGGCGGCCGUAACUAUAAUAGUCCUAAGGUAGCGAAAUUCCAUGUCGAAUAAGUUCCGACCCGCACGAAAGGCGCAACAAUCUGGGCACUGUCUUGGAGAGAGGCUCGAUGAAAUAGACAUGUCUGUGAAGACGCGCGGACUACUGCACCUAGACAGAAAGACCCUAUGAAGCUUCACUGUUCCCUGGAUUGGCUUUGGGCCUUUCUUGCGCAGCUUAGGUGGAAGGCGAAGAAGGCCUCCUUCUGGGGGGCCAUCAGUGAGAUAUACCACUUUGGAAGGGCUAGAAUUCUAACCUUGUGCCAGGACCUACGAGCCAAGGGACAGGCUAGGCCAAGGGACAGUCUCAAGUAGACAGUUUAUAUUGGGGCGUAGGCCUCCCAAAAUGUAAUGGAGGCGUGCAAAGGUUUCCUCAGGCCAGACGGAGAUUGGCCCUCGAGUGCAAAGGUAGAAGGGAGCCCAGACGGAGAUUAGCCCUCGAGUGCAAAGGUAGAAGGGAGCUUGACUGCAAGACCCACCCGUCGAGCAGGGACGAAAGUCGGCCUUGGUGAUCCGACGGUGCUGAGUGGAAGGGCCGUCGGUCAACNNNNNNNNNNNNNNNNNNNNAUUGAUGGGAAGGUUUGGCACCUCGAUGUAGGCUCUUCACCACCUGUGGCUAUAGUAUGUUCCAAGGGUUGGGCUGUUCGCCCAUUAAAGCGGUACGUGAGCUGGGUUCAGAACGUCGUGAAACAAUUCGGUUCAUUUCCAGUGUGGGCGUUAGAGCAUUGAGAGGACCUUUCCCUAGUACGACAGGACCGGGAAGGACGCACCUCUGGUGUACCAGUCAUCGUACCCAUGGUAAACACUAGGUAGCCAAGUGCGGAGCGGAUAACUGCUGAAAGCAUCUAAGUAGUAAGCCCACCCCAAGAUGAGUGCUCUCCUAUUCCGACUUCCCAAGAGCCUCGGGUAGCAUAGCCGAGUUAACUCCCUGUUUUUUCAGAAAAGUCCAAUGAAGACGUUUGGCUAAAAGAA